AGAGUUUGAUCCUGGCUCAGAACGAACGCUGGCGGCGUGCCUAAAACAUGCAAGUCGAGCGAGAAAAGGGGCAACCCUGAGUAAAGCGGCGCACGGGUGCAUAACACGUGGGUAAUCUGCCUCGGAGAGUGGGAUAACUAGCCGAAAGGUUAGCUAAUACCGCAUAAGCUUACGACUCCUUCGGGAGCUGUGAGAAAAGGCGGCCUCUGUAUACAAGCUGUCACUCCGAGAUGAGCCCGCGGCCCAUCAGCUAGUUGGCGGUGUAAAAGACCACCAAGGCUAUGACGGGUAGCUGGUCUGAGAGGACGAUCAGCCACACUGGAACUGAGACACGGUCCAGACUCCUACGGGAGGCAGCAGUUGGGAAUAUUGCGCAAUGGGCGAAAGCCUGACGCAGCAACGCCGCGUGAGCGAUGAAGGUCUUCGGAUCGUAAAGCUCUUUCGGCCGGGACGAAAACUCACCGUUUAAUAAGCGGUGACUUGACGGUACCGGAAGAAGAAGCACCGGCUAACUCUGUGCCAGCAGCCGCGGUAAUACAGAGGGUGCAAGCGUUGUUCGGAAUUAUUGGGCGUAAAGCGCGCGUAGGCGGCUUUGUGUGUCGGGUGUGAAAGCCCUCGGCUUAACCGAGGAAGUGCGCCCGAAACUGCAGAGCUUGAGUGCCGGAGAGGAGAGCGGAACACCCGGUGUAGAGGUGAAAUUCGUAGAUAUCGGGUAGAACACCAGUGGCGAAGCGGCUCUCUGGACCGCAACUGACGCUGAGACGCGAAAGCGUGGGGAGCAAACAGGAUAAGAUACCCUGGUAGUCCACGC
Molecule: ribosomal RNA, 811 nt
Filed under: uncultured Geobacter sp.
Lineage: Bacteria; Pseudomonadati; Thermodesulfobacteriota; Desulfuromonadia; Geobacterales; Geobacteraceae
Description: bacterial SSU rRNA
Rfam family: Bacterial small subunit ribosomal RNA
Source: RNAcentral